CUACGGGCCGCUGCAGUGAGGAAUAUUGGUCAAUGGGCGCAAGCCUGAACCAGCCAUGCCGCGUGAAGGAUGAAGGCCUUAUGGGUUGUAAACUUCUUUUAUACGGGAAUAAACUUAGCUAUGUAUAGCUAACUGCAGGUACCGUAAGAAUAAGCACCGGCUAACUCCGUGCCAGCAGCCGCGGUAAUACGGAGGGUGCAAGCGUUAUCCGGAUUUAUUGGGUUUAAAGGGUCCGCAGGCGGACUAAUAAGUCAGUGGUGAAAUCUCUCGGCUCAACCGAGAAACUGCCAUUGAUACUGUUAGUCUAGAGUGUAGUUGGCGUAGGCGGAGUGUAUCAUGUAGCGGUGAAAUGCUUAGAUAUGAUACAGAACACCGAUCGCGAAGGCAGCUUACGAAACUACAACUGACGCUCAGGGACGAAAGCGUGGGAAGCGAACAGGAUUAGAUACCCGCGUAGUC
Molecule: ribosomal RNA, 459 nt
Filed under: uncultured bacterium
Lineage: Bacteria
Description: partial 16S ribosomal RNA
Rfam family: Bacterial small subunit ribosomal RNA
Source: RNAcentral